Danio rerio (zebrafish) is the source of this 894-nucleotide non-coding RNA. The record is from RefSeq and is a predicted model, not a curated record. Lineage: Eukaryota; Metazoa; Chordata; Actinopteri; Cypriniformes; Danionidae.
UAAGAACUUUGGUCAGCUUACUUAUUUUAUGUGUUAGAGUAAUCUAAUACAUUGGCGAGCCCCCCAAGAACGGUUAAGCCAAAUACAGCAAAAUCUAACAAUUUGGCGAAGCCAGCCAGGAGAGACUGAAAAGAGGAAAACUCAUCAACUGCAACAAGAAAUGAAUUGAAGAAUCUUGGAGAAUCUACAGUUAAAGCUGAAGAUAAACGGAUUUUGUUUGUGGACGAGUCCUGGAUCUACAUAUUGUAUCUGUGGACACCCUUUAUUUUAAUCAACUGGAUCUCAUCUCAAAGAUCCUAGUUUGGUGUUCCAGAGGAUGACCAGAGACACACAACACCAGACACCUAGAUGAACACACCUAAACAUCCACAGAACACAACCACAUCCUGCUACUUCUACAACAUUACAACUUCAAAUAGAAAUGGACUCAGGCAUUUGAGGAAAUGCAAGCUUCACCAUGCCUUGUUAUUCUGUCACUUUAAGUUAUAUAGCCUGUAUUGCAGAUUGCUGUAUACAUGAUUAACUUGUUUUAUGAUCAAAUAUGAUCAGAGGAGGGAUUGAAAGAUUAUGUGCAUUUUAGUUCAGUUGCAUUUACAUUGAUUAAACUCUGAUGUGAUAUGAUGGGGUGACCUGUGCCUCGACCCCCACAAACUGAUAGGUGUGAACUAAAUGACCCUUUUACAAUCUCAAUGGGUAUUAGCAAAACAACAGCUGAAACAUCUGAAGAGGGUCCUGCUGAGCUUCGUAAACAGAAUGGUUUGUUUGAUGCUAGUAUAAAGUACUGUCUCACAGACAGUACUUUGGGUUAAGUUACUUGAAGACCGACGGGUUAACAUCACUGCUCAGGAACUGCACUAUUCAUUGUCUUCAAUAAAGUCUUCUCUCCGUAAGAAC